This is a long non-coding RNA of Macrobrachium nipponense, 555 nucleotides long. RefSeq lists it as uncharacterized. The record is from RefSeq and is a predicted model, not a curated record. Lineage: Eukaryota; Metazoa; Arthropoda; Malacostraca; Decapoda; Palaemonidae. The transcript is spliced from 3 exons.
CUUUCAUUGAGACAGUUGGUAAACUCUCAAGACUCAGUCCAUAGGAAAGAACAAGAGAAAGAAAAAGAAGAAAAAUGGCAAGAUCUUUCUUCCUUCUGGUAGCUGUCAUCGUAGCAGGUCUGGUCUGCUCAGCUGUCGGCUCUAGGGGUGUCACCCCCUGCCGUACUCCCCCCCGCCGUGAAGUGUCCGGUUGCAAGAAUUUCUGUAACAAUGAUAAGUUUCGGACAAUAUACUUGCUGCGACGAAGAUGACAGCCCAAAAAGCCACCAAGGACGCUGCCCCAACAACCCCAAUCACCCCUCAGGAGACGGAAGCCCUCUGCGUCGGUUUUCCCGAUCAUCCUUUGCCACAGCGACAGCGAGUGUAACGAUAACGAGAAGUGCUGCUACACCCUCGACACCCAGCACCGUAUUUGUAGAAGAUCUCAUUAAGUAGAACUAGAGCGAGCAAGGGAGCCGUUUCAAGGCAAAUCCCAACUACUACUACAAAUGCAAGAUCUACUUAAAUAAAGAAGAUGGUUUAAAAGAGCUAGGAACCGUUUUCACAGGCUAAUCC